Molecule: non-coding RNA, 376 nt
Filed under: Pongo abelii (Sumatran orangutan)
Lineage: Eukaryota; Metazoa; Chordata; Mammalia; Primates; Hominidae
Source: RNAcentral
UGAAAACUUCCUGAGGCCUCCUCAGAAGCAGAUGCUGCUAUGCUUCCUGUACAGCCUGAAGAACUAAACAUUUCUAUACAUUUAUGAGACCCAACUCCAAAAGCAUACUGGAAUGGAAUUAAAGAUAGAACUACAGAAGCUAAAGACAGCUGAUCAAACUAAAAAAACAAGUUAAAGGUGAGGACGCCAAGGCUCAGAAUAGUCACUUGCCCAUGAUCACUGCUCUUAUAGCGCCAACUCAGAGCUCAGGCAAUGCUCAUGUUCUUUCCACUGUGCCUCAUGGCUCAUGUCUGACUCUUCUAGAAAUGUAGGCAAAUCCCCUGCCUUCUAUGGGUCUCAGAUUUCCAUAAAAAAUAAAAUCAAUGGAUCAAGUUAA